GUGGGGAAUAUUGCACAAUGGGGGAAACCCUGAUGCAGCCAUGCCGCGUGUGUGAAGAAGGCCUUCGGGUUGUAAAGCACUUUCAGCGAGGAGGAAAGGUUGGUAGCUAAUAACUGCCAGCUGUGACGUUACUCGCAGAAGAAGCACCGGCUAACUCCGUGCCAGCAGCCGCGGUAAUACGGAGGGUGCAAGCGUUAAUCGGAAUUACUGGGCGUAAAGCGCACACAGGCGGUUGGAUAAGUUAGAUGUGAAAGCCCCGGGCUCAACCUGGGAAUUGCAUUUAAAACUGUCCAGCUAGAGUCUUGUAGAGGGGGGUAGAAUUCCAGGUGUAGCGGUGAAAUGCGUAGAGAUCUGGAGGAAUACCGGUGGCGAAGGCGGCCCCCUGGACAAAGACUGACGCUCAGGUGCGAAAGCGUGGGGAGCAAACAGGAUUAGAUACCCGAGUAGUCC
RNAcentral lists this ribosomal RNA (450 nucleotides) under uncultured bacterium. Its description in RNAcentral is "partial 16S ribosomal RNA". It matches the Rfam family "Bacterial small subunit ribosomal RNA", at positions 354 to 796 of the family's 1533-position model. The record is from RNAcentral.